CCUACGGGAUGCAGCAGUAGGGAAUAUUGCUCAAUGGGGGAAACCCUGAAGCAGCAACGCCGCGUGGAGGAUGAAGGUUUUCGGAUUGUAAACCUCUGUCAGCAGGGAAGAACGGUCACUGUGCUAAUCAGCAGUGAAUUGACGGUACCUGCAAAGGAAGCACCGGCUAACUCCGUGCCAGCAGCCGCGGUAAUACGGAGGGUGCGAGCGUUAAUCGGAAUUACUGGGCGUAAAGCGCUCGUAGGCGGUAUGUCAAGUCAAGGGUGAAAUCCCCGCGCUCAACGUGGGAACUGCCUUUGAAACUGGCAAACUGGAGUGUGUGAGAGGAUAGUGGAAUUCCAGGUGUAGGAGUGAAAUCCGUAGAUAUCUGGAGGAACAUCAGUGGCGAAGGCGACUAUCUGGCACAUAACUGACGCUGAGGAGCGAAAGCGUGGGUAGCAAACAGGAUUAGAUACCCCGGUAGUC
Molecule: ribosomal RNA, 465 nt
Filed under: uncultured bacterium
Lineage: Bacteria
Description: partial 16S ribosomal RNA
Rfam family: Bacterial small subunit ribosomal RNA
Source: RNAcentral